Molecule: ribosomal RNA, 253 nt
Filed under: uncultured bacterium
Lineage: Bacteria
Description: partial 16S ribosomal RNA
Rfam family: Bacterial small subunit ribosomal RNA
Source: RNAcentral
UACGUAGGGGGCAAGCGUUGUCCGGAAUCAUUGGGCGUAAAGCGCGUGUAGGCGGCUCGAUAAGUCUGCUGUGAAAGUCCAGGGCUCAACCCUGGGAUGCCGGUGGAUACUGUCGAGCUCGAGUCCGGAAGAGGAGUGUGGAAUUCCUGGCGUAGCGGUGAAAUGCGCAGAUAUCAGGAGGAACACCAAUGGCGAAGGCAGCACUCUGGGACGUGACUGACGCUGAGGCACGAAAGCGUGGGGAGCAAACAGG